UCUAGCACUUUGUAUCUUUCGUUGGUAAACCAGCAUACGCAGUUCCUUAUUUUUACUUAAUAAUUCGGGUGGAUGUUUUUGCUCGGAAAAUUUUGGAAUCAGGACAGAUUUAUGCUGUGGAUAAGGCGGACGGGUGGAGAGAACAAAUGAAAUGCUUGUGAGUAAUGGAACAACAAAAGUGUGAUGGUGCACACAGCAAGCACAGUGAAGGUUUGUUCAUUGCAGCUGUUCUAUCCGUAGGAAAUGCAAAUAGAUGAAUGUAAACACAGAAACACUGUGGGAACAGUGAAAGACAAGAUACCACUGUUGCUGGCUAUCGGGAAAUAAGGUGCUGGAGAUGCCCAGCAGGAUGGGUAGCACUCGUCAAACAAGAAGAAUGGACUUAAUACUGCAGGUGGAUGACCUUCAACAGAGCUAACAGUAGUAGUAUAAACAUGACAGGUUGGAUGAAGGCAUGUGGUUUCCCACAUUAUGUUGGAUUUUGCUGGAACGCUAAUUGGGCAGAAGCACAGACAGAGCGGGAUAGGGAAUUAAAGUGAAAGGCAACUGGAAGAUCAAGGUCACCCCUGCAGACUUCAAGGUAUCUGCAAGGCCAUCAUCCAAUCUGUGUUUGGUUUCUUUAACGCAGAGGAAUCACCAUUGUGAGCACACAGUGGAAUACUCUAAAGUGGAGGAAGUGCAAGUGAAUCACUGCUCCACUUGAAAGAACCAUUCAGAUGCCCAAAUGGUGGGAAAGGGCUAAAAAGGGCAAGUUGUACAUUUCCUGCAGUUGCACGAGAAGAGGAAGGGGAGUGCGGUGGCGAUGGAAAGGUGAACCAGGGAAUCAAGAUGAAGGUGGCAGUGGCAGUUGAUCUCUGGCAAGGUUGGGACACAUUUCAUAUAAGCAGCUGAACCUUCCUUGUGCUUCAACCGAGUGACUUCCCUUCACCAUUUAACUGUAAUAUCUUUGGAUGAAGGAAAGGAGGAGAAGAGUUAGAAGACAGUGAAUCAUUGUUGCUGAAACAAUCAACCAGAGUUCAAGAGCAGAAUAAGAAGCAAGAGUUCGGUGGAGUUACAUUUGCAGAUCUGGGGUUGGACACACUUUCAUUGCCUUUAAUACCAUGAAUUCAAUUCUUAAUAAUAGGCAGUCGCACGUGUGUGAUUGUGUAGGAAAGAACUGCAGAUGCUGGUUUAAAUUGAAGAUAGACACAAAGUCCUGGAGUAACUCAACGGGACAGGCAGCAUCUCUGGAGAGAAGGAAUCGGUGACAUUUUGGAUUGAAACCCAUCUUCACACAUGUGUCAGAUUGUCAGGUGUCAGGAGCUGAAAGGGUUAACCAGAAGAGCUUCUGUUCUUAUCUCUUGAAAGUUUUGAGGUCAACGAUCUCGUAUGUUAUUUUGCAGAAUGUUCCAGCUGAUGCCAAGCAAAGCCAAUGUCUGAUUAGUUGAAUAACUGGUAGAACACAUUCUCAACAUAUUUUUGUUAAAUGCCUUUGUUUAAAUGAUGCUCUUGGAAAACAAUAAAACACAGACAGUCAUGUCCACGUGGCAGGGAAGCAAGUUUAAGGCUUUAGCUGACUUUACGAGUUGCAGUGGCAUAUUAUGCUAAAUUACAUUUUUAAGACUGGCAGAUUUCACCCAUCCCUGGAGAAAGUAUCAAUAAUGAUUUUAAAUAAAAUCAGAAAAUGAGUUCUGACAAAAGGUCAUCAACCCACAAUAUGAAUGCUUUCUCUCUGCACAGGUCGCUUGACUUGCUGUCAUUUCCAGUACUGUCUUUUACUUCUAAUUUGCCGACUCUACAAUGUUUUACCUUUUUUUUUAAUAUAAUGACAUAAUUUCUUGUUCCAUUAUCUAACAAAGACUAGUUGCAUCGUUCCCUGAAACAUGCAAACUCCAUUCCUUCUUACCCAUAUGGCUGUGGCAGAAGAUUCGGACUCAUACUUCAAGAAUACCAGCCUACUAUUGAGGCUGUCAUUCUGAACCGAGAUAUUACUUGAAGUUCACUCUUUUGAAUUAGAUUUUAAAUCAAGGUCAUCAAAUGAAUGGAAAAUAUCCCUUGGCAUAUUCAAUGAGAAAUGGGUAAUUCUGCUAGUAUCCAAGUUACUUUCUAUGCCUCCUCUAAUAUCUAUCAUUAGAGUAAUUGAUGACGUUAUUUUUACUAAGAACUUGCUCUGUAUACAUUGGCUGCUUGGUUUCUCACAUUAUAACCAAAACACAAGAUGCUGAAGAGUCCAGACCCGAAACAUCGCCUGACCAUUGUCUCCAAAGAUGCCACCUGACCCACUUUGUGUUUUGCUCAAGAUUGAAGCCAUUCCUUGUCUCUCCAUUUUGCAUUGUAACAUUGACUACACUUCAAUUACUUUCUUGGCUGAAUAGGUGACAUACUAACGAAAUGCCAGUUUUUUCCUCAAGGAAUCUCUGGUUACCUGCACUCAGAUGAUACACUGGUUCCUCCUCCCGUAUAAUAUCGGACAGAGGGAGUACAAGUUUGAUAAUGCUCUUGCAGUUGCUGCUCAGAGCAGUCCUUGGUUUGAUGACCCUCCCAUUAUGGUGUAAGGUUGGCAUUUCUUAGAUUGUGACCUGGUAUGAAUUUCACAGUGCCAACACAAAACACAGGGAAAUGGUUUAAAAAUCCACCAACUGCAAUCUCAUGAUGAGAGAAAGGCCAAAUCAGCUAAAUUCUGAUAAUUAACAAAUUGCCAAAAAAUGUCAUUUACCUUCAUUGUUAAUCGAGUUUGUAUUAUGUUUUGGGGAGCAUCUUGAAAAAUAAGAUUCUCAGGAUAUUGGGACUGUUGGCAAGACUGACAUAUAUUCCUUGAUAUAACCGGUAGUUAUAACAAGAGCAAAGAGAAAUUAAGCGAUAACAAUUUGAAUGUGGGGUCGGAGUCACAAAGGCCUGCCCUGUGAAGGAGGACAGGUUUCCUUCAGUUGGGAUGUAACAAGAAUGCGGCAGUUUCAAGGUCACUUUUAAUUUUACCAUUUUAUUUCCAAGCAGGGUUUGAACUUGGCUUUGUGGA
Long non-coding RNA from Leucoraja erinaceus (little skate), 2995 nucleotides. RefSeq lists it as uncharacterized. The transcript has 3 exons. The record is from RefSeq and is a predicted model, not a curated record. Lineage: Eukaryota; Metazoa; Chordata; Chondrichthyes; Rajiformes; Rajidae.